This 468-nucleotide ribosomal RNA is filed under the name uncultured bacterium. RNAcentral describes it as "partial 16S ribosomal RNA". It matches the Rfam family "Bacterial small subunit ribosomal RNA", at positions 28 to 507 of the family's 1533-position model. The record is from RNAcentral.
GACGAACGCUGGCGGCGUGCUUAACACAUGCAAGUCGAACGGAAAGGCCCUGCUUUUGUGGGGUGCUCGAGUGGCGAACGGGUGAGUAACACGUGAGUAACCUGCCCUUGACUUUGGGAUAACUUCAGGAAACUGGGGCUAAUACCGGAUAGGAGCUCCUGCUGCAUGGUGGGGGUUGGAAAGUUUCGGCGGUUGGGGAUGGACUCGCGGCUUAUCAGCUUGUUGGUGGGGUAGUGGCUUACCAAGGCUUUGACGGGUAGCCGGCCUGAGAGGGUGACCGGCCACAUUGGGCCUGAGAUACGGCCCAGACUCCUACGGGAGGCAGCAGUGGGGAAUAUUGCACAAUGGGCGGAAGCCUGAUGCAGCAACGCCGCGUGCGGGAUGACGGCCUUCGGGUUGUAAACCGCUUUCGCCUGUGACGAAGCGUGAGUGACGGUACUGGGUAAAGAAGCACCGGCUAACUACGUG